UCACAAGUAAACAUUUGUAUUAUCUUAUUAAGUCCUUGUAACAUGGAGUGUUUAUAAGAAGGUGUCUGUGUAGUUAACUAUUUAUA
Molecule: long non-coding RNA, 86 nt
Organism: Sinocyclocheilus anshuiensis
Lineage: Eukaryota; Metazoa; Chordata; Actinopteri; Cypriniformes; Cyprinidae
Exons: 3
Source: RefSeq, a predicted model, not a curated record